GGAGAGGUGGCAGAGUGGUCGAAUGCGGCGGUCUCGAAAACCGUUAACGGGUAACCCCCGUUCGAGGGUUCGAAUCCCUCCCUCUCCGCCA
RNAcentral lists this transfer RNA (91 nucleotides) under Wenzhouxiangella sp. AB-CW3. Its description in RNAcentral is "tRNA-Ser". It matches the Rfam family "tRNA". Rfam says of the family: Transfer RNA (tRNA) molecules are approximately 80 nucleotides in length. Lineage: Bacteria; Pseudomonadati; Pseudomonadota; Gammaproteobacteria; Chromatiales; Wenzhouxiangellaceae. The record is from RNAcentral.